UACAGAGGUGGCAAGCGUUGUUCGGAAUUACUGGGCGUAAAGGGCGCGUAGGCGGUCCCGUCAGUCCCUUGUGAAAUCCCCCGGCUCAACCCGGGAACUGCGUCCGAUACUGGCAGGCUUGAAUCCGGGAGAGGGAUGCGGAAUUCCAGGUGUAGCGGUGAAGUGCGUAGAUAUCUGGAGGAACACCGGUGGCGAAGGCGGCAUCCUGGACCGGCAUUGACGCUGAGGCGCGAAAGCCAGGGGAGCAAACGGG
This 253-nucleotide ribosomal RNA is filed under the name uncultured bacterium. RNAcentral's name for it is "partial 16S ribosomal RNA". It matches the Rfam family "Bacterial small subunit ribosomal RNA", at positions 524 to 776 of the family's 1533-position model. The record is from RNAcentral.